Long non-coding RNA from Polypterus senegalus (gray bichir), 508 nucleotides. RefSeq lists it as uncharacterized. NCBI's taxonomy places the organism in Eukaryota, Metazoa, Chordata, Cladistia, Polypteriformes, Polypteridae. The transcript is spliced from 3 exons. The record is from RefSeq and is a predicted model, not a curated record.
CCGAAAGUGAAAGCUCUUCAGGAAUGACGGAAGUUCCUUCAGUAAAAUUCGAGCUCAUUGCGUGUGUGAAGCCAUGAUUUGUAAAGCAAGUGCAGACGAAUGCCCAGACAGAAAUUCACGUUAGGAUUGCAAGGACUCCCACCCGGCAGAUGCGACAUUGCAGUACAAGUACAUUUAUUAACGCACUUCUUCAAAAUAUCAAGAAUAAAUUAGAAAAAACGACGUCUCAGAAUAAUAGCGUACAUUACAUGACUGAAAGAAAAUCUGAGCCAUGCUUUGGAGUUUAUGCUUCUGUCAAACAGUAAACAUGACCAUAAGAUGAGAAAUGUUUUUUUCAGGAAUGUCUUGGGUAUUUAUCAGCUCGCAUUACUUACGUUGCCUGUUGUACAGCCUUGUGAAAACCCUGACAGCCCAGCAAGUAUAGCUGCGGAUUACAGCCAUGUCAUUUAUCAUUUAAUCAACAAAACUAAUGAUCUCCUUUCAAAAGAAAUUCAAAAUGGAACUUGCC